GUGCAGCCAAAUCGAAGAAUGAAAUUCUGCUUUCUUCCCCUUGGGGGCCCAGUGUGCAACGGCUGAAAAUAGCAGCCUCCUCAGUAGUGUACGCAGCCUGUUGCCUGUACGGGUUGCCCUCAGGGACCUUGGAGACAGCC
This is a small nucleolar RNA of Globicephala melas (long-finned pilot whale), 140 nucleotides long. RefSeq annotates it as small nucleolar RNA SNORA70. The record is from RefSeq and is a predicted model, not a curated record. Lineage: Eukaryota; Metazoa; Chordata; Mammalia; Artiodactyla; Delphinidae.